GUGCUCGCUUCAGCAGCACGUAUACUAAAAUUGGAAUGAUACAGAGAAGAUUAGCUUGGCCCCUGCGCAAGGAUGACACGCAAAUUCAUGAAGCAUUCAAAAAACAG
This 107-nucleotide small nuclear RNA is filed under the name Microcebus murinus (gray mouse lemur). Lineage: Eukaryota; Metazoa; Chordata; Mammalia; Primates; Cheirogaleidae. The record is from RNAcentral.